Long non-coding RNA from Prionailurus viverrinus (fishing cat), 905 nucleotides. RefSeq lists it as uncharacterized. NCBI's taxonomy places the organism in Eukaryota, Metazoa, Chordata, Mammalia, Carnivora, Felidae. The transcript has 4 exons. The record is from RefSeq and is a predicted model, not a curated record.
UUGCGUUCCGCGCCGCCGGCUCCCUCCGCCCCGCGGCUCGAAAACGCCCAGAAACAUGGAACUGUGGAAAAAAUCAGCCAUUCCCUUCCAGCCUGUGGAUUGCAGUACGCGAACCUGGGGAAAUGAGGUGGGACUCAUGCAAUCAACUGAGGACGUGAAUAGAAUAAAAAGAUUGAAUAAGAGGGAACGUCUCCUGCCUGACCCUUUGAAUCAGAACAUCCGUCUCUUCCUAUCCUCUGAUUGGAACUUAGAUGAGUUCUCCUGGUUCUCCAGCUUGCCAGCUGCAGAUCUUGGGACUUCUCAGCCUCCAUAAUCAGGUAAGAAGCUUUGUAAGGUGACCAGUAUGCCACUGAGUCCUGUCUGUGAUACACAGCUUCAUUCAUUUUACUUUAUGAGGACGUCAUCGGUCAGUUCUUGCAAAAUUCCAAGGAGGCAGAAAGGCUGCUUGACUGAGACUCAUUUCCCCUGGCUGUGGACUGACUCCAUUAUCCAUAAUUAAUGCUAAAACACUUCAGUUUUCUUUUGGGGAUCCACCCCUCUCCGGGGGUGACAGUCAAAGUGUAUAACAACUGGAAUGACAUGGGUAUUACCACACCCACACAAUCGGAAUGGAUGCUGACUGUGACACCUGCUGAACCCAGAUUCGCUCAUCAGUUACUGUUUUGAUGAGUCCUGACAUCAAGAUGCCCUGACCUUCCUUCUCUAAGGGCCAAGCAUGGACCGAGCUAAGCCAAACAGACCUUCUGCCCUGAGAAUUUGCAUGCUGACAGGCAACACACACAAGGGCCGAAAACAUGUGGCACAGGUGGGUCCCAAACGUGUUGCCUGGAAAUGCCAGCUUCUCGUGUACCCUGCUUCCUGUCCUUUCCAAGACCUCAUUGUUCAGCUUUUCCUUUGUUCUAUAA